Molecule: ribosomal RNA, 438 nt
Filed under: uncultured bacterium
Lineage: Bacteria
Description: bacterial SSU rRNA
Rfam family: Bacterial small subunit ribosomal RNA
Source: RNAcentral
CCUACGGGCGGCAGCAGUGGGGAAUAUUGGGCAAUGGACGCAAGUCUGACCCAGCAACGCCGCGUGAAGGAAGAAGGCUUUCGGGUUGUAAACUUCUUUUAAGGGGGAAGAGCAGAAGACGGUACCCCUUGAAUAAGCCACGGCUAACUACGUGCCAGCAGCCGCGGUAAUACGUAGGUGGCAAGCGUUGUCCGGAUUUACUGGGUGUAAAGGGCGUGCAGCCGGGCCGACAAGUCAGAUGUGAAAUCCGCGGGCUUAACCCGCGAACUGCAUUUGAAACUAUUGGUCUUGAGUACCGGAGAGGUCAUCGGAAUUCCUUGUGUAGCGGUGAAAUGCGUAGAUAUAAGGAAGAACACCAGUGGCGAAGGCGGAUGACUGGACGGCAACUGACGGUGAGGCGCGAAAGCGUGGGGAGCAAACAGGAUUAGAUACCCGUGU